ACUCAAUACAUUUGCAGCAGUGCAGCUUACUAUAAAUGGCAACAGAAAGUCAAAAAUAAUGUCUGCAUUUGAGCAUAAUGGUCACAUACAAUAAAGUUAAUACAUUUCUAAAAUAAAGAUACAUAGAACCGCGGUAGAAAUUUUUAUCAAUCUCUGGAAAACUAAUGUAAUGCUGACAGUGAAAUGGUAGGGUCCAUUCUCUCAACCCCC
Pelobates cultripes (western spadefoot toad) is the source of this 210-nucleotide non-coding RNA. The record is from the annotation of a GenBank genome assembly. Lineage: Eukaryota; Metazoa; Chordata; Amphibia; Anura; Pelobatidae.